AAUCUGCUCAGCCUCCUCUUGAAGCUGUGACAGGAGAGUACUUAUCUUGUGGAGCCUACUUCGAUCUUUCUGCCGCUUGGUUACUAGCUUUAUAGGGAGAGACAUAUUCUCAGUCUCAAAAGGAAGCAACCUAGGAUGAAAACCACUGAGAACAAAACAGGAAGAGAGGUCCCAGCUCCUACAAGCACCUCUCUCCUGUUUGUUUGUUUGUUUGUUUUAACCUUCAUUGCCCCUCAAAUCUGGCCUCUUUCAGUAGGUUGUUUGUUUCGUGAAUUAAGGUUAGUAAUGCAAAAGUAAACUUCCAGGUUUAGAGCUCAGGGGGAAAUUAUGACUUAUUGUGCCCCGUAGAAUACUAAGUUUGGGGCUAAUUCUUGUCUUUGCCCUUGAACCUUCUGGUGGGACAACGGCAGAUUGUCUCUAGUUUCUACUCACUACUAUAUGAAAGGAUUAGACAAAGGGACUUCUGUGUAGAUGUCUUGUACUUUUUAUAUCCCACAUUACAACUGUUUUAUUUUUUCAUAUUAUAGCUUUUAUAUACAUGUGUAUUUUUUGAGGUUUUUGUCAGCUGGGAAUAUUUGAAAAAGCCUACAAUUUCUUGUACACAUUAUCUCCACUAGUUAAAAAUUAUGUGUCACUUUUUCUUAAAUAAAUAGUGAAAUACUUGUGGAUUUAAGGUAGAAAUAUUUAUUUAUAUGGGCUUUCUUGUGUGAAUUUAAUUUGAAAAUCACCUUCAUGUAAUAGCAUGAAAAAUUUCAUUGUUUUUUUAAAGAUAGACAUUUCUCUAAUAAUAAUAAUAAUAAUAAUAAUAAUAAUAAUACUUGAUAGUAUAAAUCUAGUGAUUUCUGAAUUCUUCAUAGUAUAUUAAAUCUUGAGUAUAAUAUAUUGGUGCUUAAAACCUUUUAACUGAGUGAACAAACAGGUGGAUAGGUAAAUAUACAACCUUUUAUCUGAAAAACACACAAAAACUGUUUUGUCUUUUGAUAAAUUAGAUGAACUAGGUACUAUUAAAAGGUUUGGGAAAUUUGAAAACUACUGAUAAAAUUUACAAGUUUUUUUUUUUUUUUUUUUUUUUGGUUUUUCGAGACAGGGUUUCUCUGUGUAGCCCUGGCUGUCCUGGAACUCACUUUGUAGACCAGGCUGGCCUCGAACUCAGAAAUCUGCCUGCCUCUGCCUCCCGAGUGCUGGGAUAAAAGGCGUGUGCCACCACCGCCCGGUUAGCAAUUUACAAGGUUUUAAAAAUGUCAAAGUGCAUUUUAUUACCAUGCCUCUUACACUCAAAUCAAAAACUGUGUCCUCUCGCUUGGCAACACACAGAACUCUGUAUUAUUUUCCCACUUAUGCUUUCCAGGAAAUCCAAAGAGUGGAUAACGGUAGGCAUACGCUAGAGUGAUGGUAACCCUCUCAUCCAGGAUUGGCUGACACGUGACACAAUUCUAACCAAUAAGGCCGUGAGUGUGCACCAAAGCUCCCCUGGGAAAGUUUCUCUUUGUUCUUAAAAGACAUUUGGAAAUAAAGAAUGCCUUUUUUGAAUCUUAGAUUGCUGUGUCUUCAAGGGGAUUUUGCACAAUGAGCAGGAUUGGCCCGAUGGUCAGAGCAGGCUGAGGCCAGGAGAGGAGGGCAGAGAAAGCAGCCGAACCUUGAGGGAACUGAGCAGAAGGCCGAGCAACCCUGAAAGUGUCUGUCUUCAGCUUCUUGACAUGGCUGACAACAAAUAGCUUUAUUAUUGAAGACAUUUCAGGUGGAUUUUCUUAUUACAUGAAGAAGUAUAAUCUUCCUGUUCUCCCGAAGGUCCUGAGUUCAAAUCCCAGCAACCACAUUGUGGCUCACAACCAUCCAAAAUGAUUUCUGACACCCUCUUCUGGUGUGUCUUAAGACACAGUGUACUUACAUAUAAUAAUAAAUAAAUU
RNAcentral lists this long non-coding RNA (1907 nucleotides) under Mus musculus (house mouse). RNAcentral describes it as "long non-coding RNA chr1:60779351-60781258". The record is from RNAcentral. Lineage: Eukaryota; Metazoa; Chordata; Mammalia; Rodentia; Muridae.